AACGUAGGAGCCUAGCGUUAUCCGAAUUCACUGGGCGUAAAGCGCGUGCAGGCGGUUCGGUAAGUUGGAUGUGAAAUCUCCUGGCUCAACUGGGAGAGGACGUUCAAGACUGUCGGACUAGAGGACGGUAGAGGAAGGUAGAAUUCCCGGUGUAGUGGUGAAAUGCGUAGAUAUCGGGAGGAAUACCAGUGGCGAAGGCGGCCUUCUGGCCGUUCCUGACGCUCAGACGCGAAAGCUAGGGGAGCAAACGGG
This 252-nucleotide ribosomal RNA is filed under the name uncultured bacterium. RNAcentral describes it as "partial 16S ribosomal RNA". It matches the Rfam family "Bacterial small subunit ribosomal RNA", at positions 524 to 776 of the family's 1533-position model. The record is from RNAcentral.